RNAcentral lists this non-coding RNA (147 nucleotides) under Chlorocebus sabaeus (green monkey). The record is from Rfam by way of RNAcentral. Lineage: Eukaryota; Metazoa; Chordata; Mammalia; Primates; Cercopithecidae.
GCCGGGCAUGGUGGUGCAUGCCUGUAGUCCCAGCUACUCGGAGGCUGAGGCAGGAGAAUGGCGUGUACCCGGGAGGUGGAGCUUGCAGUGAGCCGAGAUCGCGCCACUGCACUCCAGCCUGGGUGACAAAGCGAGACUCCGUCUCAA